Molecule: ribosomal RNA, 575 nt
Filed under: Alternaria sp. JJP-2009a
Lineage: Eukaryota; Fungi; Ascomycota; Dothideomycetes; Pleosporales; Pleosporaceae
Description: eukaryotic LSU rRNA
Rfam family: 5.8S ribosomal RNA (bases 235-388)
Source: RNAcentral
UCUUGGUCAUUUAGAGGAAGUAAAAGUCGUAACAAGGUCUCCGUAGGUGAACCUGCGGAGGGAUCAUUACACAAAUAUGAAGGCGGGCUGGAACCUCUCGGGGUUACAGCCUUGCUGAAUUAUUCACCCUUGUCUUUUGCGUACUUCUUGUUUCCUUGGUGGGUUCGCCCACCACUAGGACAAACAUAAACCUUUUGUAAUUGCAAUCAGCGUCAGUAACAAAUUAAUAAUUACAACUUUCAACAACGGAUCUCUUGGUUCUGGCAUCGAUGAAGAACGCAGCGAAAUGCGAUAAGUAGUGUGAAUUGCAGAAUUCAGUGAAUCAUCGAAUCUUUGAACGCACAUUGCGCCCUUUGGUAUUCCAAAGGGCAUGCCUGUUCGAGCGUCAUUUGUACCCUCAAGCUUUGCUUGGUGUUGGGCGUCUUGUCUCUAGCUUUGCUGGAGACUCGCCUUAAAGUAAUUGGCAGCCGGCCUACUGGUUUCGGAGCGCAGCACAAGUCGCACUCUCUAUCAGCAAAGGUCUAGCAUCCAUUAAGCCUUUUUUUCAACUUUUGACCUCGGAUCAGGUAGGGAUA